This 466-nucleotide ribosomal RNA is filed under the name uncultured bacterium. Its description in RNAcentral is "partial 16S ribosomal RNA". It matches the Rfam family "Bacterial small subunit ribosomal RNA", at positions 28 to 507 of the family's 1533-position model. The record is from RNAcentral.
GAUGAACGCUGGCGGCGUGCUUAACACAUGCAAGUCGAACGGAAAGGCCCAAGCUUGCUUGGGUACUCGAGUGGCGAACGGGUGAGUAACACGUGGGUGAUCUGCCCUGCACUUCGGGAUAAGCCUUGGAAACUGGGUCUAAUACCGGAUAGGACCACAUUUUGGAUGGUGUGGUGGAAAGUUUUUCGGUGUGGGAUGAGCUCGCGGCCUAUCAGCUUGUUGGUGGGGUAAUGGCCUACCAAGGCGUCGACGGGUAGCCGGCCUGAGAGGGUGUACGGCCACAGUGGGACUGAGAGACGGCCCAGACGCCUACGGGUGGGAGAAGUGGGGAAUAUUGCACAAUGGGCGCAAGCCUGAUGCAGCGACGCCGCGUGGGGGAUGACGGCCUUCGGGUUGUAAACUCCUUUCGCUAGGGACGAAGCGUUAUGUGACGGUACCUGGAGAAGAAGCACCGGCUAACUACGUG